RNAcentral lists this unclassified non-coding RNA (180 nucleotides) under uncultured fungus. RNAcentral describes it as "sequence contains ITS1, 5.8S rRNA gene". The record is from RNAcentral. Lineage: Eukaryota; Fungi. RNAcentral also lists the same sequence under 1 other name.
AAGAGAUAGGGUCUUCAUGGCCCGACCUCCAACCCUCUGUUGUUAUAACUACCUUGUUGCUUUGGCGGGACCGUCUCGGUCUCCGAGCGCACUAACCCUCGGGUUGGUGAGCGCCCGCCAGAGUCCAACCAAACUCUUGUAUUAAACCAGUCGUCUGAGUAUAAAAUUUUAAUUAAAUUA